CCUACGGGCGGCAGCAGUGGGGAAUAUUGGACAAUGGGCGAAAGCCUGAUCCAGCCAUGCCGCGUGUGUGAAGAAGGCCUUCGGGUUGUAAAGCACUUUCAGUGGGGAAGAAAGCCUUGGGGCUAAUACCCUCGAGGAAGGACAUCACCCACAGAAGAAGCACCGGCUAACUCCGUGCCAGCAGCCGCGGUAAUACGGAGGGUGCGAGCGUUAAUCGGAAUUACUGGGCGUAAAGCGCGCGUAGGCGGUCUGAUAAGUCGGUUGUGAAAGCCCCGGGCUCAACCUGGGAACGGCAUCCGGAACUGUCAGGCUAGAGUGCAGUAGAGGAAGGUAGAAUUCCCGGUGUAGCGGUGAAAUGCGUAGAGAUCGGGAGGAAUACCAGUGGCGAAGGCGGCCUUCUGGACUGACACUGACGCUGAGGUGCGAAAGCGUGGGUAGCAAACAGGAUUAGAUACCCUGGUAGUC
RNAcentral lists this ribosomal RNA (465 nucleotides) under Vreelandella stevensii. RNAcentral describes it as "partial 16S ribosomal RNA". It matches the Rfam family "Bacterial small subunit ribosomal RNA", at positions 338 to 795 of the family's 1533-position model. Lineage: Bacteria; Pseudomonadati; Pseudomonadota; Gammaproteobacteria; Oceanospirillales; Halomonadaceae. The record is from RNAcentral.